RNAcentral lists this ribosomal RNA (302 nucleotides) under uncultured bacterium. RNAcentral describes it as "partial 16S ribosomal RNA". It matches the Rfam family "Bacterial small subunit ribosomal RNA", at positions 508 to 807 of the family's 1533-position model. The record is from RNAcentral.
GCAGUAGCCGCGGUAAUACGAAGGGUGCAAGCGUUAAUCGGAAUUACUGGGCGUAAAGCGUGCGUAGGCGGUGAGUUAAGUCUGCUGUGAAAUCCCCGGGCUCAACCUGGGAAUGGCAGUGGAUACUGGCUCGCUAGAGUGUGUCAGAGGAUGGUGGAAUUCCCGGUGUAGCGGUGAAAUGCGUAGAGAUCGGGAGGAACAUCAGUGGCGAAGGCGGCCAUCUGGGACAACACUGACGCUGAGGCACGAAAGCGUGGGGAGCAAACAGGAUUAGAGACCCCCGUAGUCCCUGUCUCUUAUAC